RNAcentral lists this ribosomal RNA (440 nucleotides) under uncultured bacterium. Its description in RNAcentral is "partial 16S ribosomal RNA". It matches the Rfam family "Bacterial small subunit ribosomal RNA", at positions 338 to 795 of the family's 1533-position model. The record is from RNAcentral.
CCUACGGGUGGCAGCAGUGGGGAAUAUUGCACAAUGGGGGAAACCCUGAUGCAGCGACGCCGCGUGAGUGAAGAAGUAUUUCGGUAUGUAAAGCUCUAUCAGCAGGGAAGAAAAUGACGGUACCUGACUAAGAAGCCCCGGCUAACUACGUGCCAGCAGCCGCGGUAAUACGUAGGGGGCAAGCGUUAUCCGGAUUUACUGGGUGUAAAGGGAGCGUAGACGGCCAGACAAGGCAGAUGUGAAAGACCAGGGCUCAACCCUGGGACUGCUUUUGAAACUGCCGGGCUGGAGUGUAGGAGAGGUAGGCGGAAUUCCUAGUGUAGCGGUGAAAUGCGUAGAUAUUAGGAGGAACACCAGUGGCGAAGGCGGCUUGCUGGACUGUAACUGACGUUGAGGCUCGAAAGCGUGGGGAGCAAACAGGAUUAGAUACCCCAGUAGUC